GGGUGACUGCGUACCUUUUGUAUAAUGGGUCAGCGACUUAUAUUUUGUAGCGAGGUUAACCGAAUAGGGGAGCCGAAGGGAAACCGAGUCUUAACUGGGCGAAGAGUUGCAAGGUAUAGACCCGAAACCCGGUGAUCUAGCCAUGGGCAGGUUGAAGGUUGGGUAACACUAACUGGAGGACCGAACCGACUAAUGUUGAAAAAUUAGCGGAUGACUUGUGGCUGGGGGUGAAAGGCCAAUCAAACCGGGAGAUAGCUGGUUCUCCCCGAAAUCUAUUUAGGUAGAGCCUUGAGGUGACACCUUUGGGGGUAGAGCACUGUUUCGGCUAGGGGGCCAUCCCGGCUUACCAACCCGAUGCAAACUACGAAUACCAAAGAGUGAUACUCAGGAGACACACGGCGGGUGCUAACGUCCGUCGUGGAGAGGGAAACAACCCAGACCGCCAGCUAAGGUCCCCAAGUCUAUAUUAAGUGGGAAACGAAGUGGGAAGGCUUAGACAGCUAGGAUGUUGGCUUAGAAGCAGCCAUCAUUUAAAGAAAGCGUAAUAGCUCACUAGUCGAGUCGGCCUGCGCGGAAGAUGUAACGGGGCUGAAAUAUAGCACCGAAGCUGCGGCAUCAGGCGUA
RNAcentral lists this ribosomal RNA (624 nucleotides) under Haemophilus influenzae. RNAcentral describes it as "bacterial LSU rRNA". It matches the Rfam family "Bacterial large subunit ribosomal RNA", at positions 591 to 1216 of the family's 2925-position model. Lineage: Bacteria; Pseudomonadati; Pseudomonadota; Gammaproteobacteria; Pasteurellales; Pasteurellaceae. The record is from RNAcentral.